UCUGCGAAUUAGGAGUCCCCAGGUGAUUCUAAUGCACCUCCAGGCCGUAAGCUGUGAUUUUUGUGCUCUAAGAGACCAGGAAGGUUAGCCAAAAAUGUCAGCCAAGAGAAGACAGCUGGUUUGAAGGAAAGGUUGGGCCUCUCACCUCUGACCCUGACCCCAUCAUCCCCCGUCUCUUUGGAAUGCAGCUCUAAGACCUCCUUCACUGGCCGGCCUGGCCUGUCUCCUGCAGGUGACCAUCAAGGUGGUGGAGGACCCCCAGGCCGAGGUGGAGAUAGACCUGUUGGCUGAGCCCAGCAAUCCCCCGCCCCAGGAUACCCUUAGCUGGCUGCCCACCCUCUGGUCCUUCCUCUGGGGAGACUACGAAGGAGAGGAAAAAGACAGGGCCCCAGGGGAGAACGGGGAGGAAAAGGAGGAAGACAAGGAUUAUCCUUCAGAGGAAAUCGAGGGUGAGGACCAAGAGGACAAAGAGGAAGAUGAGGAAGAGCAGGCACUCUGGUUCAAGGGAACUACAGACAACUGGGACCAGGGCCGGCUGGCCUCCGGGGAUUGGGUCCUCAAGGAUUCUCUCAGCUACGACUAUGAGCCUCAGGAGGAGUGGAGUCCCUGGUCUCCCUGCAGUGGGAACUGCAGCACUGGCAAGCAGCAGAGGACUCGGCCCUGUGGCUAUGGCUGCAGUGCCACCGAGACCCGUACCUGUGACCUGCCCUCCUGUCCUGGCACUGAGGACAAGGACACCUUGGGCCUCCCCAGUGAGGAGUGGCAGCUCCUGGCCCGCAAUGCUACGGACAUGCAUGACCAAGAUGUGGACAGCUGUGAGAAGUGGCUGAACUGCAAGAGCGACUUCCUAAUCAAGUACCUGAGCCAGAUGCUGCGGGACCUGCCCAGCUGCCCAUGUGCCUACCCACUGGAGGCCAUGGACAGCCCCGUGAGCCUGCAGGACGAGCACCAGGGCCGCAGCUUCCGAUGGAGGGACGCCAGCGGCCCUCGUGAGCGCCUGGACAUCUACCAGCCCACGGCGCGCUUCUGCCUGCGUUCCAUGCUGUCUGGGGAGAGCAGCACGCUGGCUGCCCAGC
Molecule: small RNA, 1076 nt
Filed under: Pongo abelii (Sumatran orangutan)
Lineage: Eukaryota; Metazoa; Chordata; Mammalia; Primates; Hominidae
Description: retained intron
Source: RNAcentral